CAAUAUAGUAAAUUCCUCACCUUUCCUUUGAAGUUUCCAAUAUAAAAUAUACUUGCAAAAUUACUUUAAAUUUCAUUCGACCACAAGGAAACUGUUUUAAACCAGAUGAAUUUCUUUUGUCAGGAGAAAUGUCUUUCUGUUGGUUUGCAAAAUGCACUAACAAAUACUCAAAUAGACGAAAAUAUCAUAUUAAAAACAUUCGUUUGAUUCAAGAUUAAACAUGGAUAUAACAGAUUAAGACAAACAUGAUAUUGUGCAACCACACAUAUAAUACUGCCCCCCCCCUUUUCCAAAAAAAUAGAUGUGAUAAAAAUACUUUAAAAAAACUCAAUGAAUAGAAAAGUAAAUAAGAAUGUCAUAGUCGCCCGUUUUUUUUUUUUUUUUGUCUAAUAGGUUCAAUGCGUGAUCUAGAAAUAAUAAAAAUCAUCUAAAGGUAGGGUCUCUUUGUUUUAUAGAGAUUUAAUCUUAUCCAAUUGCAGUCGUUUGUUUGUUUGUUCCUAGAAUAAUAUUUGAACCGAAAUUCGUGUAAACCAUUGAGAUAUAUAUCAUUGACAAUUUGACAACUAUCCAAAAAGUAUAAUAGGUCACCGUACUGCUUAUAACAAAGACAAAAGCCAAUACUGUUUAGUAAGCUGCAAAAUGCCACAUAAUUUUAACAAGAAAACUGACGACCUGAUCUAUGAUAAAAUAACUAAAAAAAAAAAAACAACAAUCAAUGACAACCACUGAACUACAGGCUACUGACUUUAGACAGACACAUGCAAAUUUCGGCAGGGUUAAACAUACAUGUCUGUGACUAUAUAAAGAUGGUAUUUUAAGUAGAUUUCUAGAAUCCAAC
Molecule: long non-coding RNA, 838 nt
Filed under: Mytilus galloprovincialis (Mediterranean mussel)
Lineage: Eukaryota; Metazoa; Mollusca; Bivalvia; Mytilida; Mytilidae
Source: RNAcentral